RNAcentral lists this ribosomal RNA (253 nucleotides) under uncultured bacterium. RNAcentral's name for it is "partial 16S ribosomal RNA". It matches the Rfam family "Archaeal small subunit ribosomal RNA", at positions 474 to 727 of the family's 1478-position model. The record is from RNAcentral.
UACCAGCACCCCGAGUGGUCGGUACGAUUAUUGGGCCUAAAGCAUCCGUAGCCGGUUCUUUAAGUCCUCCGUUAAAUCCACCUGCUUAACAGAUGGGCUGCGGAGGAUACUAUAGAGCUAGGAGGCGGGAGAGGCAAGCGGUACUCAGUGGGUAGGGGUAAAAUCCGUUGAUCCAUUGAAGACCACCAGUGGCGAAGGCGGCUUGCCAGAACGCACUCGACGGUGAGGGAUGAAAGCUGGGGGAGCAAACCGG